CCUACGGGAGGCAGCAGUAGGGAAUCUUUCACAAUGGGCGAAAGCCUGAUGGAGCAACGCCGCGUGCAGGAUGACGGCCUUCGGGUUGUAAACUGCUUUUAUAAGCGAGAAAUAUGAUGGUAACUUAUGAAUAAGGAUCGGCUAACUACGUGCCAGCAGCAGCGGUCAUACGUAGGACACGAGCAUUAUCCGGAGUGACUGGGUGUAAAGAGUUGCGUAGGUGGCAUAAUAAGUAGCUAGUGAAAUCUGGUGGCUCAACCAUUCAGACUAUUAGCGAAACUGUUAAGCUCGAGACCGUGAGGGGUAACUGGAAUUUCUAGUGUAGGGGUGAAAUCCGUAGAUAUUAGAAGGAACACCAAUAGCGUAGGCAGGUUGCUGGGACGGUUCUGACACUAAGGCACGAAAGCGUAGGGAGCAAACGGGAUUAGAUACCCCUGUAGUC
This 442-nucleotide ribosomal RNA is filed under the name uncultured bacterium. RNAcentral describes it as "partial 16S ribosomal RNA". It matches the Rfam family "Bacterial small subunit ribosomal RNA", at positions 338 to 795 of the family's 1533-position model. The record is from RNAcentral.